This is a non-coding RNA of Ornithorhynchus anatinus (platypus), 138 nucleotides long. Lineage: Eukaryota; Metazoa; Chordata; Mammalia; Monotremata; Ornithorhynchidae. The record is from Rfam.
CCCCUCUUAAGAUCACACCUGGAGAAUUUCCAGGACUCUACCAGUCUCAGCUAUGGCAGGGAGAGUCAAGCAGAGGUACACCCACUCCAUUCCUAGCUUGGGCAGUGGCUAGUGAGUGGAAGGCCAUCUGCUACAAGU